RNAcentral lists this ribosomal RNA (1204 nucleotides) under Microbacterium sp. WLJ045. Its description in RNAcentral is "bacterial SSU rRNA". It matches the Rfam family "Bacterial small subunit ribosomal RNA", at positions 108 to 1325 of the family's 1533-position model. The record is from RNAcentral. Lineage: Bacteria; Bacillati; Actinomycetota; Actinomycetes; Micrococcales; Microbacteriaceae.
GAGUAACACGUGAGCAACCUGCCCCGAACUCUGGGAUAAGCGCUGGAAACGGCGUCUAAUACCGGAUACGCACCAGGAAGGCAUCUUCUCUGGUGGGAAAGAUUUAUUGGUUCGGGAUGGGCUCGCGGCCUAUCAGCUUGUUGGUGAGGUAAUGGCUCACCAAGGCGUCGACGGGUAGCCGGCCUGAGAGGGUGACCGGCCACACUGGGACUGAGACACGGCCCAGACUCCUACGGGAGGCAGCAGUGGGGAAUAUUGCACAAUGGGCGCAAGCCUGAUGCAGCAACGCCGCGUGAGGGAUGACGGCCUUCGGGUUGUAAACCUCUUUUAGCAGGGAAGAAGCGAAAGUGACGGUACCUGCAGAAAAAGCGCCGGCUAACUACGUGCCAGCAGCCGCGGUAAUACGUAGGGCGCAAGCGUUAUCCGGAAUUAUUGGGCGUAAAGAGCUCGUAGGCGGUUUGUCGCGUCUGCUGUGAAAACCCGAGGCUCAACCUCGGGCCUGCAGUGGGUACGGGCAGACUAGAGUGCGGUAGGGGAGAUUGGAAUUCCUGGUGUAGCGGUGGAAUGCGCAGAUAUCAGGAGGAACACCGAUGGCGAAGGCAGAUCUCUGGGCCGUAACUGACGCUGAGGAGCGAAAGGGUGGGGAGCAAACAGGCUUAGAUACCCUGGUAGUCCACCCCGUAAACGUUGGGAACUAGUUGUGGGGGCCUUUCCACGGUCUCCGUGACGCAGCUAACGCAUUAAGUUCCCCGCCUGGGGAGUACGGCCGCAAGGCUAAAACUCAAAGGAAUUGACGGGGACCCGCACAAGCGGCGGAGCAUGCGGAUUAAUUCGAUGCAACGCGAAGAACCUUACCAAGGCUUGACAUAUAGAGGAAAGAUCUGGAAACAGUUCCCCCGCAAGGUCUCUAUACAGGUGGUGCAUGGUUGUCGUCAGCUCGUGUCGUGAGAUGUUGGGUUAAGUCCCGCAACGAGCGCAACCCUCGUUCUAUGUUGCCAGCACGUAAUGGUGGGAACUCAUGGGAUACUGCCGGGGUCAACUCGGAGGAAGGUGGGGGAUGACGUCAAAUCAUCAUGCCCCUUAUGUCUUGGGCUUCACGCAUGCUACAAUGGCCGGUACAAAGGGCUGCAAUACCGUGAGGUGGAGCGAAUCCCAAAAAGCCGGUCCCAGUUCGGAUUGAGGUCUGCAACUCGACCUCAUGAAG